GUAACGAUUACGUUGUUUCUGACGCUGAUUGCAAUUACAAAGGGUUUAAAGGGUCCUACUGGCAAGCAAGCCUGCCGAGGAAACAAUAGGUGCGCAAAAAGCAAGGGUAGGGUUCAGUUAGCAAGCUCGGAUCACGGAGGUCGAACCCGACCAACGACUGUGUCGCUGGCGUAUUCUCCCGUCCGCCCCAGCCAGUGGAACCGUACAUCCACUCACUGUCCUUUCGGAGAGCCUGCCCCGUGGCCUAUGUUAUGGUAAUGAUCCUUCCGCAGGUUCACCUACGGAAA
Molecule: unclassified non-coding RNA, 287 nt
Filed under: uncultured fungus
Lineage: Eukaryota; Fungi
Description: sequence contains ITS1, 5.8S rRNA gene
Source: RNAcentral